AUGAGGAACAACCACAGUGGUGGCGGCCAGCUCUGGAGCCCUGGAUUCAGCUCCCGCAGGUACUCCGGAGGUCUCCGUCUGCAGGGCCUGGAGGCUCCGGGGCGGG
RNAcentral lists this microRNA precursor (106 nucleotides) under Canis lupus familiaris (dog). Its description in RNAcentral is "mir-8834 microRNA precursor family". It matches the Rfam family "mir-8834 microRNA precursor family". Lineage: Eukaryota; Metazoa; Chordata; Mammalia; Carnivora; Canidae. RNAcentral also lists the same sequence under 1 other name. The record is from Rfam by way of RNAcentral.